AAUAUCCCAGUGCUGGUCUAAGGCCUCCUCUGCCUUUUGAAGAGAAGGCAUGGGACUUAUUCCACCACAGUGCUCCAAUGCGGCACUUGACUUGGUGAAGUCAACUGAAGAGUGCUUGCUGAGAUGGAGUUUUUGGAGGCUCUGCUGUUUUGAAGUCUUGCUGCUGUUUGUCUAGACAACUGCGACUGUUGCUUCUGUUGCUGCUGUUGAUGCUGCAGCUUGUUGCAUGCCACUUUGCACUGCUUUUUCUGUUCUGAAUCGACAGUUCCGUUUUCUGUUCUGGAUGCUGCAUUAAUGAUUGUACUUGCUCUUUAGUUAAUGCAGUGUUGUCAAAGUUAAAAUGCAAUAGUGGCGCUUUGACUAACCCUUACGGCGAUAAUAUUUGCAGCCAGAUGUAGAAAAUCAGGAUCAGCAUCUUGUCGGAUCAGUACGUGGCAGUUCAUCAUGUUUAUUGUUUGUUCGUUUGUUCAUUAUCAAUUUCUAUUUUACUACCCAUAUUUUAAUAUUAUUUUUGUUAAUAAGGCCAUGAACAUAAUUACCUAUCUAUUUUGAUAACCUAGUCGCUAAUGAUAUUUACUUUUGAUUCACUCUAGUCGUU
This is a long non-coding RNA of Nymphalis io (European peacock), 598 nucleotides long. RefSeq lists it as uncharacterized. The record is from RefSeq and is a predicted model, not a curated record. Lineage: Eukaryota; Metazoa; Arthropoda; Insecta; Lepidoptera; Nymphalidae. The transcript is spliced from 3 exons.